CUUCCCACGGCGGGCAUCUGGCCCUGGCUGCCUCCUGCGUGCCCCUCGCCUUCCCAUGGUGGGCACCCGGCUGGGGCACGGGGACAUCUGCCAUCUGGCCAGCCCCUUCUCCCCUCGGGGCUUAGGCUGACUCCCCACGAGGCCUUCCUGGCCUCCUGUCUGAAGUGGGUCCCUUUCCUUACUGGUCCCUCUCCAAAGCCCUGGCUGUAAGACUCGGGGACCCCAGCAUCUGCACAUCUGGCAGAGUGGACCUCCUAUGAGAACUGGCUGUGAGCUGUGGAGCCCAGGGCCGGAGGAGCAGUAAGGGUGGCAUGGGGACCAGGACAGGCUGCUGCGGGCCAGGGGCAAACACGUCAGGCCUGGCCCCCAGUCCGCUGCUGCCCCUCCCUUUCACCUUCCAUCCAGCACUAAGGGAGUCUGGCCACGGCCUAAUAUAGGAGGGCUUGUGGAAGGAGACACCCACCCCCUCUUUCUGCACCUCUCCCCUCUUCCAUGCCACCCCCAGGCCAGGAGCCACCACAGCCCUGUCUGUGACUCUCAGCUCCCGAGGCUGGGCUCUUCCCCAGGGAAGCUGCAUGACCAUGGCCACAUACAGGAGGUAGGAGACAGAGGCCUCCACGGUGGACGAUCGUGGCGUGAAGUCCACGUUGACCACGUUGUCGGUGCUGGGGGAGCGGAUGAAGGCCAGGGACCCGCGGCGCUCUCCCUGUGGUCAGGAAGCAGCCCGCUGCAGAGGGAGGGGUGGAAAUGCCAAAACCAGGAGAUCAGAUUUUGAGCCCCUGUCCGUCUGAGGCCACAGCCAGGCUGCUGCCUGAACUGGGCAGAGGUCAUGCUUGUGGGAGGACACAGUGGUCUGAGUGUGAAGGGGUAAAGCUGCCUGGGACUUGGGAUGUGUCUGGGGAAAGUGUUGAUACUGCAGAAUCAUUGAAGUGGUCUCUGUCCCUGCAGGAGACCCUAAAACUCCAUUGGCCUCAUGUCCAGAACUGAAUCAGGUAGAGAACGGAGCAGAGCCCGAUGGGGCACAGAAGCCACACAGCUGAGUGCCAGAGGAUGGAAGUGGGGCCGCCUAUGUGUCCUCAGACCCCACCCGCCUGAUGGCAGGGCCUGGAGAGCAUGAGGU
RNAcentral lists this long non-coding RNA (1120 nucleotides) under Homo sapiens (human). RNAcentral describes it as "HSALNT0082979". Lineage: Eukaryota; Metazoa; Chordata; Mammalia; Primates; Hominidae. The record is from RNAcentral.